Molecule: ribosomal RNA, 809 nt
Filed under: uncultured bacterium
Lineage: Bacteria
Description: bacterial SSU rRNA
Rfam family: Bacterial small subunit ribosomal RNA
Source: RNAcentral
AGUCGAGGGGUAUAGUAGCAAUACUAGAGACCGGCGCACGGGUGCGUAACGCGUAUGCAAUCUACCUUUUGCAGAGGGAUAGCCCAGAGAAAUUUGGAUUAAUACCUCAUAGUAUAACGACUCGGCAUCGAGAUGUUAUUAAAGUCACAACGGCAAAAGAUGAGCAUGCGUCCCAUUAGUUAGUUGGUAAGGUAACGGCUUACCAAGACUACGAUGGGUAGGGGUCCUGAGAGGGAGAUCCCCCACACUGGUACUGAGACGCGGACCAGACUCCUACGGGAGGCAGCAGUGAGGAAUAUUGGACAAUGGGCGCAAGCCUGAUCCAGCCAUGCCGCGUGCAGGAUGACGGUCCUAUGGAUUGUAAACUGCUUUUGCACAGGAAGAAACAACGCUACGUGUAGCGUCUUGACGGUACUGUGAGAAUAAGGAUCGGCUAACUCCGUGCCAGCAGCCGCGGUAAUACGGAGGAUCCAAGCGUUAUCCGGAAUCAUUGGGUUUAAAGGGUCCGUAGGCGGUCUUAUAAGUCAGUGGUGAAAUCUCCCCGCUCAACGGGGAAACGGCCAUUGAUACUGUAGGACUUGAAUUAUUAGGAAGUAACUAGAAUAUGUAGUGUAGCGGUGAAAUGCUUAGAGAUUACAUGGAAUACCAAUUGCGAAGGCAGGUUACUACUAAUGGAUUGACGCUGAUGGACGAAAGCGUGGGUAGCGAACAGGAUUAGAUACCCUGGUAGUCCACGCCGUAAACGAUGGAUACUAGCUGUUGGGCGCAAGUUCAGUGGCUAAGCGAAAGUGAUAAGUAUCCCACCUGGG